This 325-nucleotide ribosomal RNA is filed under the name uncultured eukaryote. Its description in RNAcentral is "partial 18S ribosomal RNA". It matches the Rfam family "Eukaryotic small subunit ribosomal RNA", at positions 1470 to 1796 of the family's 1831-position model. The record is from RNAcentral.
CCCUUAGAUGUUCUGGGCCGCACGCGUGCUACACUGAUGCAUUCAACGAGCCUAUCCUUGACCGACAGGUCCGGGUAAUCUUUGAAUCUGCAUCGUGACGGGGAUAGAUUAUUGCAAUUAUUAAUCUUCAACGAGGAAUGCCUAGUAGGCGCAAGUCAUCAGCUUGCGUCGAUUACGUCCCUGCCCUUUGUACACACCGCCCGUCGCUCCUACCGAUUGGGUGUGCUGGUGAAAUGUUCGGAUCGGCCGUUUGUCGCGGUUUCCGCGGCUCGUGGCUGAGAAGUUCAUUAAACCCUCCCACCUAGAGGAAGGAGAAGUCGUAACA